Molecule: small nuclear RNA, 104 nt
Organism: Gorilla gorilla gorilla (western lowland gorilla)
Lineage: Eukaryota; Metazoa; Chordata; Mammalia; Primates; Hominidae
Source: Ensembl
GUGCUCACUUUGGCAGCACAUAUGCUACAACUGGAACAAUACAGAGAUUAGCAUGGACCCUGUGCAAGGAUGACACGCAAAUUCAUGAAGCAUUCCAUAUAUAU